AUGAACGCUAGCGGUGCGCCUAACACAUGCAAGUCGAGCGAUAUAGCGGCGAACGGGUGAGUAACACGUUGAUAACUUGCCCCGGAGUGAGGGAUAGCCCGCCGAAAGGUGGAUUAAUACCGCAUAAUAAUGGGGGGACAUAUGUCAUUCCCAUUUAAAGUCUUCGGACGCUUCGGGAGAGGUCUGCGUAGUAUCAGUUAGUUGGUGGGGUAAUGGCCUACCAAGACUAUGACGCUUAGCUGGUCUGAGAGGAUGAUCAGCCACAAUGGAACUGAGACAAGGUCCAUACUCCUACGGGAGGCAGCAGUGAGGAAUCUUCCGCAAUGGGCGAAAGCCUGACGGAGCGACACCGCGUGAAGGAUGAAGGCCUUUUGGUUGUAAACUUCUUUUCUGAGGGAAUAAAUGAUGAAGUUACCUCAGGAAUAAGCACCGGCUAACUACGU
This 443-nucleotide ribosomal RNA is filed under the name uncultured bacterium. Its description in RNAcentral is "bacterial SSU rRNA". It matches the Rfam family "Bacterial small subunit ribosomal RNA", at positions 29 to 506 of the family's 1533-position model. The record is from RNAcentral.